Molecule: ribosomal RNA, 414 nt
Filed under: Pelophylax cf. bedriagae
Lineage: Eukaryota; Metazoa; Chordata; Amphibia; Anura; Ranidae
Description: partial 12S ribosomal RNA
Source: RNAcentral
UACUAUCAUCUGUUUCUCAUUUUACACAUGCAAGUCUCAGCACCCCAGUGAGAACGCCCUUUUAACCUACACCAGGAGAAGGAGCUGGCAUCAGGCACUAUCCCUGCCCAUAACACCUAGUCUCACCACACCCCCAAGGGUAAUCAGCAGUGAUAAAUCUUAAAUAUAAGCGACAGCUUGAUUUAGUUAGAGAAAAGAGGGCCGGCUAACCCGGUGCCAGCCGCCGCGGCUACACCGUGGGGCCCGAGCUGAUAGUCACCGGCGUUAAGCGUGAUUAAAGCCCUCAACAAUUAGGGUUAAAUUAAUAUUUAGUAGUGAUAAGCUUGUUAUUAAGAAAACCAUAAACGAAAGUUACCCUAAUUACACUUGAAUCCACGACAACUGGGAAAACAAACUGGGAUUAGAUCCCCGCAC